RNAcentral lists this long non-coding RNA (1434 nucleotides) under Homo sapiens (human). RNAcentral's name for it is "HSALNT0038626". Lineage: Eukaryota; Metazoa; Chordata; Mammalia; Primates; Hominidae. The record is from RNAcentral.
CUGUUCUGCUGUCUUGCAAGCUGAGUGUUCUUGGGCAUUGUGCCACAUUUUUUUGUCAUAUUUCUUGACCUAAGCUUGGACUUUUAACUUCAAGGAGAGCAGCCAAGUGUCAAAUUUGGCCUUUUCCAAGUAUUGCUUACAGAAGGCCCAGCAAUCCCCUGAAGUGACUGGCAACACUGUCCUUGGGCCAAAUGCAGAAGGCAGCUGCAGAUGGUGCGAUAGAGAGAUAGUGUGCGGAAGGCACCUCCGGCAAAUCCUGGAUGCCCAGGCCCAGCCAAACCACCAGACUCCUGGCUCCUAGUCAAGACCCCAGCCUUCCUCCAUGAAGGCCGUAUGGGAUUGCAUCCAGAUACCUUAGGAGACUGUCUGGCAACCUGUUCCCCCAGCAUGAGGUGCCUCCCUUCUCUGGCCUUGGACUCAGCCAGCACCUGAGGGAAGAAUGCCUGGCAGAAUGAAAGCCUAAGGACCUGUUUGUAUCUUUUCAUCCUUCAGUAGAACUCCACCUUUCUUAGGCUUUUAGAUGAGGCUUUCUGUUCUUAAGUUCACCUUCUGAUGCCAAAUAUGUAGACCUUGGGCCUGUCACUUUGCUCUCCAAGAGAGUCUCAGAACAACCCUCUGGGGACACGUUUUUGGUUUCAGUCUCUUCAGCAGGCAUUAUCCUUUCUUCUGGAGGUAACACCCCAAAGUUUAUUCGUCCAUUCCUAGCUCAGUUCAUGUGGAUCUGGUGGGGAUCCUGCCUCCAUAAGGAGAGUACAACUUGAGACUGGCCAGCCAGCACUUUGCAUUCCCCCAGUCAUGGGGAUUGGUUCAUUGUUGAGCACACAACCCAGGCCUUUUGCUUCAGAGUUGAACACAUGCUUCAAAUUGUUGUAAUUAGAGGAAAUUCUUCAGCUUAUUAUUAGCUCCUGAGGGAAAAUGCUCAGUUUUAAAGUGGAUUUGAAGAAGAAGGACUAGAGCUGUUGGCACCACUUUGUCACCACAUGGAGCCUGAGAAUGAAAGCAACAUGGAAACCUAUCUGGGUUCCUAUCUGGAAUUGAUUUCUGUGUAUGAUGUGAUGUGGGAGUGAAGUUCACGUAUUCUCACAGGGACAACCAAUUGACUAAGGCAUCAUUUCUUGAGGACACUCUUUACCCCCUGCCUUUCAGUAGCACAUAUAAUUCUAUAUAGGAUUUUUUAUCCUAUUCCAUUGGUCUAUUUGUCUGUACUUGUGCCAAUUGCAUGCUGUUUCAGUUGAUGUUACUUCCUAAUCAAUCUUGAUAUCUGGCACUAUCAAUUCUGCAACUCUGUUCCUUUUCUUUAAAACAGUCUUAUCAUUACUGGCCAUUUUUGUAUAUUCCUUAAUAUAUCUAAGAUCUCUUAAAAUUUCUCUCAGUAUUUUAAAGUACUUUUUGUGUAGAAGUCUUGUAUACCUUCGGUUUAUUUGUAUACCUAGG